Molecule: ribosomal RNA, 480 nt
Filed under: uncultured bacterium
Lineage: Bacteria
Description: partial 16S ribosomal RNA
Rfam family: Bacterial small subunit ribosomal RNA
Source: RNAcentral
AUGCACGCUGGCGGCGUGCUUAACACCUGCAAGUCGAACGAAGCACUUUAUUUGAUUUCCUUCGGGACUGAUUAUUUUGUGACUGAGUGGCGGACGGGUGAGUAACGCGUGGGUAACCUGCCUUGUACAGGGGGAUAACAGUUGGAAACGGCUGCUAAUACCGCAUAAGCGCACGGCAUCGCAUGAUGCAGUGUGAAAAACUCCGGUGGUAUAAGAUGGACCCGCGUUGGAUUAGCUAGUUGGUGAGGUAACGGCCCACCAAGGCGACGAUCCAUAGCCGACCUGAGAGGGUGACCGGCCACAUUGGGACUGAGACACGGCCCAAACUCCUACGGGAGGCAGCAGUGGGGAAUAUUGCACAAUGGGCGAAAGCCUGAUGCAGCGACGCCGCGUGAGCGAAGAAGUAUUUCGGUAUGUAAAGCUCUAUCAGCAGGGAAGAUAAUGACGGUACCUGACGAAGAAGCACCGGCUAGAUACGUG